Molecule: RNA transcript, 2672 nt
Organism: Dermochelys coriacea (leatherback sea turtle)
Lineage: Eukaryota; Metazoa; Chordata; Testudines; Dermochelyidae
Gene: TMEM120B
Gene name: transmembrane protein 120B
Exons: 13
Source: RefSeq, a predicted model, not a curated record
GCACUCCCAACCCCUGGGUUCGCAUGAUGACGUCAGGAGAGGGUGUGCACGUGGCCUUAAGACCAGCUGGAGGCUCGCGCUGCUGUAGCAGCUAGAAAAUUGCUCUCGCUCUCUGGAGUCUCCUGGAGAGGCUGAACGCGGCUGGGGCUGACGGCCCUUGCACCAUGUUACUGCAGUUGGAGAGGUAUCAGCGAGAGUGGCAAGAGCUGGAAGAGGAAUUUCAGCAGCUCCAGGAAACUCACAAGGUCUAUAGACAGAAACUUGAAGAACUCAAUAACUUGCAGGCUGCAUGCAGCAGCUCCAUUCGUAAACAGAAGAGGAAAUUAAAAGACUUGAAAUACAGCCUCCAACGGUGCAAAUACAAGUCUAGUCCUGAAGAAUCUGAUCUUGUACAGCGAAUUAACACCCAGAUCAAAGACAGGCAAAAUGUUUUCUUUGACAUGGAAGCCUAUUUACCAAAGAGAAAUGGUUUGUACUUAAAUCUGGUGUUGGGAAAUGUGAAUGUAACUCUUCUAAGUAACCAGGCAAAGUUUGCCUACAAAGAUGAAUAUGAAAAGUUCAAACUUUAUUUGACAAUAAUCUUGUUACUUGGUGCUGUAGCAUGCAGGUUUAUUCUUCAUUAUAGGGUGACAGAUGAAGUGUUUAACUUCCUGUUGGUGUGGUAUUACUGCACAUUGACAAUAAGGGAAAGCAUUCUCAUCAGCAAUGGAUCAAGGAUUAAGGGCUGGUGGGUGUCUCAUCAUUAUGUCUCCACAUUUCUAUCUGGAGUAAUGUUAACAUGGCCAGAUGGACUCAUGUAUCAAAUGUUUCGCAAUCAAUUUUUAGCAUUUUCAAUUUUUCAGAGCUGUGUACAGUUCCUACAGUAUUAUUAUCAAAGUGGCUGCCUUUACAGACUCCGUGCAUUAGGGAAAAGAAACCACUUGGAUCUUACAGUAGAAGGAUUUCAGUCUUGGAUGUGGCGAGGACUGACCUUCCUCCUUCCCUUCCUGUUCUUUGGGCAUGAGUUUGCCAUUGGAGUUCUUCUGUUUGGUUACCUGGCACCACCCUCUUUUUCUUUUAGUGAUUGCAUAUGUCCGUUACGCUACAUAGGUGUGUGCAUGUCUCAUGCAUCAGUGCCAUAGAGUUUUCCCUAGUGGUAACGUGUAUCCCCACUUAGAUAAUUGGCUGGUAUGGGGUCACUCUAGUCAUCAGGUAGAGACCAGCAUCUAUCCAACGUUCAGGCUAUUCAGCAAUUUGGGCCUGAAAAUAAACAGAGAAGACAAUCUAGUCACCUCUCCAAAGAACAGAGUUCAUUGCUGAGGUCCUGGACUUGACCUCUGCCAGGUCUUACCUGUCCCAUCCUAGGUUCCUAGCCAUAGAGGAUCUCUGUGUGUCAUUCAUAUCUCCACCAUGAGUCUCAGUAAGGAAUUGCUUCAGGCCACAUGGCUGCUUGUACUUAUGUGACCCUUUCACAAGGCUUCACUUCCAGUGAAUGCAGAAAUGGCUUGAGUAAUCUACUGCCCAUGGAUUCACCCUCUGGACAAGUUAGUAUGCACCCCAAACAGUGUGGUGUCAUCUCAGAGUUGGUGGAAGAGCCUGAACAACGUGUGUGGGGAAUCCCAUUCUCUGUCUCCCCACUCUAAUUUCGGUAACGGACGCUUCAGACACGGAUCCCUCUGUAUAUCAUAUUCUUCAAGGACAAGAGGCAGCUUAGGCUGCAUCCUAAGUUCCAAACUAAGGUGGUGUCUGAUUUCCACCUAAAGUCUCUAUGCUUGCCUGUCUUACGGAUGGACCAAAGCUGCACACCUAGAUGUUCACUGAGCCUUAGCUUUUAACAUGUUCAGAACAAAGCCCUUUUAGUUUUUCAUCUCCCAUGCAGAACGAAUAAGAGGCCAUCCUGUUUACAGCACAAGACUCUAAAUGGAUCACAAGCUGCAUUGUCAUGGGCUAUCCUGCCAAAGAUAUCAUGUCUCCUGAGAAGCUAGCAGUGCAUUCAACCAGAGUGCACUUGGUUUCCAUGGUGUUUGUGGAAAAUGUUCCUAUUAUGAACAUCUAGAGAGCACAGUGUGAUCUGUGGUCCUUGGUCAAUGCAUGCACUAGAUUCUACUUAAUUAUGGUAGCAUCCAGGGAAGAUGUGAAUGUGGGGAAAGCAAUCCUCCAGCUCCUCUUCUGAUGAGAUUUCUAGCACCACCUACACUGAUAACAAUUGGGGAGUACUUACAGUGUAAUGGACAUAUGCAAUCACUCGAAGAAAAAUGAUACCUCACCUUCUUGUAACUGUUGUUGUUCCAGAUGUGUUGAAUACAUCCAUUAUAUGACCCACUCUCCUUCCCCUAAUGCAUGACUAUCACUGGGAACUUAGUGAGAAGGAACUGAAGGACAGGUGAGGCAGUUCCAUCCUAUAUAGCUUGUAGCGGGAGGAAGCCAGGGCACAUGUGGGGCUGCCCCUAUGGGUACAACUUAGGAAAACUCUCUGGCACCUGUGACAAGACCUGCAUGCACCUACAGUGUCAGGACAUAUGCAAUACAUCUUGAAAAACAAGUUACAAGAAGUUUUGGCAGCUCUAUAAUGCAAUCACACUUUUUGAACUGUCUAGGCAUACGGAAUGCAAAGAAUGGCAGGUUUUUGUACUGGCUCUCACAUUUCUGCUGCUCUUCCUUGGAAACUUUCUUACUACUUUAAAAGUGGUGCA